CUAUAACUAAAUGACUCUCGGCAACGGAUAUCUCGGCUCUUGCAUCGAUGAAGAACGUAGCGAAAUGCGAUACUUGGUGUGAAUUGCAGAAUCCCGUGAACCAUCGAGUCUUUGAACGCAAGUUGCGCCUGAAGCCAUCAGGUUGAAGGCACGUCUGCUUGGGCGUCACGCAU
RNAcentral lists this ribosomal RNA (173 nucleotides) under Erica lateralis. RNAcentral describes it as "5.8S ribosomal RNA". It matches the Rfam family "5.8S ribosomal RNA". Rfam says of the family: 5.8S ribosomal RNA (5.8S rRNA) is a component of the large subunit of the eukaryotic ribosome. Lineage: Eukaryota; Viridiplantae; Streptophyta; Magnoliopsida; Ericales; Ericaceae. The record is from RNAcentral.